RNAcentral lists this ribosomal RNA (440 nucleotides) under uncultured bacterium. Its description in RNAcentral is "partial 16S ribosomal RNA". It matches the Rfam family "Bacterial small subunit ribosomal RNA", at positions 338 to 795 of the family's 1533-position model. The record is from RNAcentral.
CCUACGGGUGGCAGCAGUGGGGAAUAUUGCACAAUGGGCGAAACCCUGAUCCAGCGACGUCGCGUGAAGGAAGAAGUAUUUAGGUAUGUAAAAUUCUAUCAGCAGGGAAGAAAAUGACGGUACCUGACUAAGAAGCCCCGUCUAACUACGUGCCAGCAGCCGAGGCAACACGUCGGGGGCAAGCGUUAUCCGGAUUUACUGGGUGUAAAGGGGGCGUAGGCGGCGAUGCAAGUCAGAAGGGAAAGCCCGGGGCUCAACUCCGGGACUGCUUUUGAAACUGGAUGGCUAGAUUGCAGGAGAGGCAAGUGGAAUGCCUAGUGUAGCGGUGAAAUGCGUAGAUAUUAGGAGGAACACCAGUGGCGAAGGCGGCUUGCUGGACUGUAAAUGACGCUGAGGCUCGAAAGCGUGGGGAGCAAACAGGAUUAGAUACCCGGGUAGUC